Non-coding RNA from Cucurbita pepo subsp. pepo (vegetable marrow), 1136 nucleotides. NCBI's taxonomy places the organism in Eukaryota, Viridiplantae, Streptophyta, Magnoliopsida, Cucurbitales, Cucurbitaceae. The record is from RefSeq and is a predicted model, not a curated record.
AGUUCAGGAGCUUCCUCCAUGGCAUCCUUCCUUUUCGACUGUUGACUUAUUUUUUACAUUCGAAACCUGAUCGCUUGGUCGCUUGGAAAUGGUGGAUUUCAGUUUGCAUGGCAAUUAAAGUGAAGUCUGUUCCAUUUCCGCAUUUCUGUUAGAAUAUAUGCAACAGUCCAAACUCGACAUGGAUGACAAACAAUUUCACUGGAGCCAGUGGCAACUGCUCGAUUCUAUCCUUCCUACUGGUGGCUUUGCCCAUUCGUUCGGUCUCGAGGCUGCAAUUCAAGCUCGCAUUGUCUCACAACCAGAAGAUCUCAAAACGUUUGUGAUCCAUUUGUUAGACAACACUGGAAGUUUGCUUCUUCCUUUUGUGCAUUCAACCACACUAUCACCUGAUUUAGAAACUUGGGAGAAAAAUGACAGAUUCUUGAAUGCAAUUUUGACAAAUGAAGUUAGUCGAAAGGCAUCCGUUACGCAAGGAUCGGCACUCAUGAGAGUUGCAGCAAUAGUAUUUUCUGAAAUCUCGUCUCUGAAAGCGAUGAGAGAAACCUCCACAGGGACCGGGGCUGUUUCCUUCCACCACGCUCCCAUAUUCGGGCUAAUCUGCGGUCUACUAGGAUGGGAUAGCACGAUGUCGCAGAGGGCGUAUCUGUUUAUUACCCUGAGAGACGUGAUUUCUGCUGCAACAAGACUGAAUUUAGUAGGACCUUUGGGUGCAGCUGUGUUGCAACAUCAGCUUGCGCUUGUUGCUGAAGACACAUUGAAAAAAUGGAUGAACCGUCCUGUUGAAGAAGCUUGCCAAACGGUUCCUCUGUUAGAGACAGUACAGGGAUGCCAUACGUACCUGUUUUCUAGGCUGUUCUGUUCUUGAAAAGUUUUGAAGUGUCCAAUUCUUUGCUUCCUGUGAUGUUGGGCAUACGAGCGGCCCUUCUUUCCUGGGUUCGUAUUUUCAUCCAAUUCCAUUCGAACACGUGAACAUGAACGAACCUCGGUAUACAUAAGUCACCUCGCUCCCAUCAAUUGCGUGUGUGGUGUCACAAUCGUACUCUUGCGAUAGUAGGUAGGACAACAAUUGUGCGGCAUUUGAUUUGUUUUAAUCUAGCGAACAAGUUAGUCGUAAGAAAUUUGGAUUUUGUAGACAA